Molecule: long non-coding RNA, 3338 nt
Organism: Bos taurus (domestic cattle)
Lineage: Eukaryota; Metazoa; Chordata; Mammalia; Artiodactyla; Bovidae
Source: Ensembl
ACUAAAGAAAUGUGAUGACAGGCAUCCUGGCUCAAAGUCCAGGCCCCGCCCAGACUCCCUGCUCAGACCACGGCUCCACUGGCAGGGCCUGCGUUCAAGUGUGAAUGGCUCCGCCGAAAGUCUCUGCUUCCUCCCACCAUGAUCCAGGAUUACUCACACUGGCCUCCAGAUAAAUGUAGUUCAAAAAGUUUAAGGUGCCGCAUCGAUGCAUAUUUACAAAAACCAUGAGAUCACACUUCAGAACGGAUUUCCAAGAGAAAGCAAGCAAGCCAUACACAGCAGCCAUCUUCUCCUUCCUUUAGAUUUCCCAAUGACACAGGGAGUCAACUUACAAAGACCCACAACAAACCCAGGAAAGAGGGUACAACCAUUAGGUACAGCUAGAACCCCUGAAAACGUCUAUUUAGAGCAAAAGACCUGGGUUCAAGCCCUGGCCUUUGCUAGCUGUGUUUCAUCAGGUGAGUCACUUGACCUCUCUGAGGCUCUUUUUCUGUAGAAAGGUGCAAGGGGAGGCGGGGCUUGUCACACAAAGUAUCGGGCUUGGUUCUGUUUGCCUGACUUGGAAGGUGCCAGCUUCCCACCUCACCCUCUUCAGGGCUCCCUCCUGAAGCUGUGUUCCAGCUACGAUAGUAACCAUCCCAGGCCGAGCAGGACCACAGUAUAACCCAGCGCUUGUAGAGAGGACUGAAUGAGUGUGACUGUGGACACUGUGUAGAGCUGAGAAUGCCGGGGUAGGUAUGAAGUUCUUAUUGCUCUCAUUCCGACACGUACAGGACCAGGGCCAGCCAGUAGCAGCCUGCUCACUCUAUUUCUCACAUUCCUAUGGCAGACGUGACUAAUCGAGCCUGCAGUCUUCCUCCUUAGGCUGACCAGUGAUGUCUGCCCUGGAGUGGGAGCAAGGGAGGAAAGGAAAGCUAUUUGCCAACGCAAUGCUGUACAGACUUUACCGCUUGGAAACCAACACAAAGCUCUAAUAGGUGCCUGAAUGCUAAUCGCUGCCCCUGUUUAGGUCAGAAGCCAAUAAACUGCCACUGGGAGUAGGGGCAGGAGGCAGAAUCCAUAAGAGAGUAACUACCAACCAAGCUUGAGAGAAGGAAACAUCUGCUAGAAGAGAGUGUCUUGUUCCACAAUUGUUCUCUUCUGGACAAGCCACUAUCCCAAGCUCUGAGGGUAGCACCAAGCCACAUGGGAGAUGAGCCAACAAACCCAGGGGGGGUUAAGUGGCAUGGCCAAGAUGACCCUCUAGAAGGGGCUAGAACCAGCUUCCGUGCUUUUUACCUUUGGGCAGGCAGCAAGGUUUGCAAACACCCACAUAUUACCCAACCAUCCUUGCAGAGAGAGGCCCACAGACCCUGCAGCCAGAGAGCAGCCUGAAAUGUGAGACCUGGCAAGCCCUUGGCCAGGUUCUCAGAGCCUGAGAAGCAACCUCAGUGAAAUCCAGAAGGCACUAUAUCAAGAAGCCGGCAGUUUGGGAACAAUCCUGCUAAGUCAUAAAUGCUUCAAAUUCUUCGGCUUUUGCCUUCAGAAUUUCUGGCAGCCUUGGGCAGGGGGCAAGUGUUCGCGGACAGACACUGACUCGCCUCGUCUCUGUUAGGGAAGGCCAAGACAGACUGAGACGGAGAAGCCAGCAGACCAACUCUCCUCUAGAAAAGUCUGCGGGUGGGAAGUGCUUUGCUGUGGAUACUCUGGUGCCCACCCAGAACCCCAUUAAAACCCAGGCUCCCAUGCCCCCACAUCCUCUCCCUUCCCCCUACAGCUGCCUCCCAGGCCGCCAUCAACCUCAGCCAAGGAGGCGGGUGGUCCAAGUCUACACGCCCUCCCCUGGGGACCCAAGCACUGGUCCACAGUGACACAGAGGCCAGUACCUUGUUUCUGUCCAUGCCGUCUCCACGUAACCAGCCCUUCAGAACUCCUGGCGAGAGUUGCAGCUGCCUCACUGUUGAGCUUUCCUCCCCACCCGCUCCUGCUCCCUCUCAGGUGUUGGCCCUGUGAUCCGCGCUCCCAGCAGGUGUAUCUUGUUCCCCACUCCCUGUCUGCCUGGCACUGGCAGUCCCCCAUCUUAGAGUGGGCUUCCCAGGAAGCUGAUCUGCAGAGCCUAGAAAGGGGAGGAAGAGUCAUGGGGUCUGGGUGCUGAGAGCACUGUGAAAUAAUCUCAUUCAGCCCCACCGCCCCACCGUGGAAACAGCCUGCCAGAGGCCACAGAGUGGACUGUUAGUACAGCUGGCCCCAGGCGCUCUGACCCCACUACGGGAUGAUAUGAAAAUUGCUUACAUGUCCGAUGUUGGGCUGCACCCCACAGGCCUGCAAGCCUUGUAGUUGUUCAGCCUCAAGACAACUAAACAGUCCAGAGACAGUGACAGAGGCCUCAGUGGUUUCACGGCUAGGGAGACCUUACACGUCUGAAGCAAGGCCAGAGCGACACCCCGCCAUGUGCGGUGGGGAGGACACAGCAGAGGUCUUCGCCACCCGGAGGAGAAGGCGGCUACCGCUUACAGGGGAACUGACAUCAGGUUGGCGCAUCAGCUACCAGGGAAACCAGCGGCAGGAGCACGCCCCUCACAACCCCUCAGGAGUGAUGGUAAUCUCCACUUCACAGAGUUUCCAUGAGGACACCAAAAGAGCGCAUGGAACGUGGGAAAGUACGCACCCGAGGCUGCGGCAAGAUCAAGCGGCAGAGCCCCGACUUCACUGCUCCCCCCGAGGCGCCUGUGCCCAGGGGAGAAAUGCCUCCCCCAUCAAAGGCAGAGGAGGGCUAGCUCUUCUCUGCCCCAGGGCAGGAGGGAGCUAGUGCUGAUUGGGAUGGAGAACAAAGACAUGCAGGCCCCUGAACUCUGAGCAACCAAGGUCACAGACAACAGGUUUUCCUCAGGUCAGAAUCUGAAUUCAGAGUUCCUCACUUUACCACCAGCCUCCUGGUACCUCUGGGCCUUCUAGAGCUGCCUCAGGAUGAUCCAAGGAACAUGCUCUAAGAUGCCGCAGGAGAAGACGAAAGACAUUUGCGGGCCGCUUUGCUCACAAGCAUCCUUCCAGACGUGUCAGGAGGUUCAGGAUCCCACAGGUUCCCCUGUGAGUCAUGCUCCUCUGUGCCGGCACACCCUGCUGGAUGUUGGUGGGGUGUACUCUGCUCAGAGUCCCUAGAUUGAGGAUGCUUUGUGCUUAAAACAGAUCUGCAGCCAUCCUCUUGGGAGCCUGGAAUUGGAGGAGUAGGCAGUGAGCCACCCAUCUGGCCCAGGAAGUCUGUUUGAAAGGAAUUAUAAGAAAUUCCAUAAACAUCGCUCCCUAAACCCCAUGAGUCCCACUGCAGGUCUCUCAGCAGCCUGGGCCAGCGUGUCUGGAAU